GACCCUGAUGCUGGGAAAGACUGAAGGUGGAAGGAGGAGGGGCUGAUAUAGGAUGAGAUGGCAUCACUGGAUGGCAUCACCAACUUGAUGGACAUGAGUUUGAGUAAGCUCUGGGAGUUGGUGAUGGGCAGGGAAGCCUGGCGUGCUACAGUCCAUGUGGUCGCAGAGUCAGACAGGACUGAGUGACUGAACUGAACUGACAGACCUGUCCCAUCUGCUUCCCUGGAGCACAGAGUACCUCACUCCACCCUGAACUCCCUCAGGGGUUGUUGGAGGUCAGCAGCUGCAGCAGCACAGGGUUCAGUCUCCAGAGAGGCAGAUGGGAAAUGCUAUUGUUGUUCAGCCAUUGGUAAUGCUCUUGGCAAGUGCCAGUUUGUAGUUGACAGUCUACAAGGUGAUGAAUGUAUUAAUUAUCUUGAUUGAGAUAAUCAUUUCAUAAUACAAUGAACGUGUAUAUAAAAUCAUCUUGUUUUUAUUUAAGCUAUACACGCAGUUGCAUUUCUCAAUUAUUCUUCAAUCAAGGGUGAAAAAAUGAUCAAACACAUAGAAGCGGCCAAUGAUGAGUUCAAGAUUUAUGAUUAAUGUCAGCCUGUGCACUUAAGGUCCAACUAGCCAACCACGCUAACCUUAAUAAGUAUUGUUCAACCUAGGCAAUCUGCCCCUCCAUUGAAGAAGGUAUGCUGCUGGCCUUUGGCAAAGUUAUGAGAUUGGGUAGGUUUAUCUUUGUUGGCUGUCCACUAGCAGAGCUUGUGCCUCUUUUUAGCUAUUUCAUAGGGUAUGGAAUGAUUGACAUCAGGAGUCGCAAAGAUUUUUAUCUUCUGAAUAAACUCUUUGUUUUUAAGAGGAGAAAACCAAGGAUAAGAGAGGUUAUAUGGCAAUAAGAUACAAUCAAGCUGGGAUAAGAAUAUAAAUUACACAACGCUUUGAAUGACUUCAUUUAUUUAUUUUUUUAACCAAUCAAGUUUUAAAUCAUUGAUGGACAAGCAGUUGGUUUGUACAAGGAACUGAGUGCCAGAAAAGGGCAGAUCACUCAUGCACCCAUCAGAUGCUCGGUGAGCAGCCCUGUGUGCCAGGUACUACACGAGUACCGGGGAAAUGUCAACAAGAGACAGGCAGUAUUUGUAUGUGCGGGGAGGUUGCUGUUGUUGUUCAGUUGCUCAGUAGUGUCCGGCUCUGUGACCCUGUGGGCUAUAGCUCGGCAGGCAUCCCUGUCCUUCAGCAUCUCCUGGAGCUUGCUUAAACUCAUGUCCAUCGAGUCAGUGAUGCCAUCCAACCAUCUCAUCUUCUGUCGUCCACUUCUCCUGCUUUCAAUCUUUCCCAGCAUCAGGGUCUUUUUCAAUGAGUCAGCUCUUUGCAUCAGUUCAGUUCAGUUCAGUUCAGUUCAGUCGCUCAGUCGUGUCCGACUCUUUGCGACCCCAUGAAACGCAGCACUCCAGGCCUCCUUGUCCAUCACCAACUCCCA
Molecule: long non-coding RNA, 1462 nt
Filed under: Bos grunniens (domestic yak)
Lineage: Eukaryota; Metazoa; Chordata; Mammalia; Artiodactyla; Bovidae
Description: lncRNA (ENSBGRG00000009717.1)
Source: RNAcentral